Molecule: non-coding RNA, 30 nt
Filed under: Mus musculus (house mouse)
Lineage: Eukaryota; Metazoa; Chordata; Mammalia; Rodentia; Muridae
Source: RNAcentral
UCUUUUUACAGUUGAAAAAGUGAUAACAAG